CUAAAAGGUGAGAGCGUCUAGCAUGCUUUGGGUAUCAGCCAUUGCAUUUUACAAAGGGAAUGGAUGAUAUAAUGGUAGUUUAAGUACAUUAAUUGGAGUUUCAUUAAGAAGAGCUCUAUGUUACCAAAACUGCGGCAUGCAUAGAUGUUAUGGGAGCAGAGUCUAACAGCAAUUAAGUAUUUAUGAAAUCAAGUAGGGCCCAGAUCAGAACCUUGGGAAGCAUCAACUUUGGGAUGAAACAUUUAAAAUUUGACUAUCUCGAUGAGUGUAAACAACCACCAACUUACACUCAAAAAUCAAUUCAUAAUUGAUUUCAGGAAAACUGAAAUGGAAGUAGAAGAGAUGAAAAACGGAGUCAGGAAGCUAUUGAAGAAACAUCUCUUCAAUUUCACCAUUUUACUCAGGAUCAAUUCUUCUCUGAAGCGCAGAACAAUACAUGGAGGCGCCAUGAGGCAGCCCAGGAGCCACCAACAACCAAGGCCUGCACCUGAAUAAGCUACAAGGACAGCUAUUAAUCAACCUCGCUGAAAUAUGCAGGCUCUACCUCAGUUGUGCUCUGAAUAAGUAAAGAAAAGGUGAGGUGACUGUAAAUGGACAUAGAGCUCAAGAGGGAACAGUUCUUCUCACUCUGAAUGGCCGCCGCUGUGAUCAUCAGCUAAGAUCGACAGGAAUUAGAAGAAAGUUGGAGAAAAGACUGGUGCCUCAAAGGUUCCAAUCAAAUGCCAUCAUCUACUGAGAUGACUGAGAUGACGCCUACUACCCUAAAGAAGUCAGGAAUGAACUGCUUCAAGGCUAAGACAUAUUUGGCUCACAUCUCUUGAUAUCGGCUAACACUGGAAUCAGCAUGGCCCAGUAGAUAAAAACAAUAAACAACACAAACAGAACAAAAUACAUAACUGAAAAUAAAGACAACUGAAUUCCAGUCCCAGCCCAGCCACUGUUGUGCUUUGUGGGUCUUGUUCUUGUACAUUUCAAAUCAAGGAGAUGGAACUCGUUUAUCUCAUUGUUGUGAAGAUGAAAAGUUGAGUAACUUGUGGAUCUGGGUGGGACUGUAUUAGGGAUUGGUAGACUAAAACAAUUGAAAUGAAAUGAUCAAUAGGAGACACUUCCAUCAAUAGUUGUUAUUCUGUGACAUCUUCUCUACUUAAGCAGCUCACCCACGAGGCAUCCAAAACAGAGAGAAAAAACAGAGUGAACAUUUUGCCUUAUGGAAUUGUCAAAAGUUGCAGUCAAAACACAGGCAAGAUUUGGAAGAAUCUGUAAUGAGCCAGGGCAAGUUUUCCUAGCUAUAGAGGCUGGGGAAGGAGAGGGAAUUAGAGAUUGGCUGUUCCUGGAAACUCUCUGCCUGUACUCCAUGACCUGAGUCCCAGGACCUGGAAGCGGCUGGACAUCUGAGCUAUAGGAGAGACUGGUGCUGCCUUUCUGAGGAGGGCUUGGGAAAACAGCAAGUUCCCUGAAUUUUUCCAUGGCACAGGAGCAGAUGAAAUGUCAUGAAUGGUGUCCAGGCCAGUGGACUGAGUUAGCUCCUGAGAGUCCCUGUACUCUCCAGCAUGGCACGAGGAGAAGCAGACCAUUCUCCCAUGCAACCAUAGGAAAAUGGUACAAACAUGACACCGAAAUUCAGCUGACCGCAAGAGCUUGAUGGUCAGUGUGAGCCAGAUGGAGCAGGAACAUGUACGGAUGGAAAACCUAGAUCCAAAGUUCAUUCCCCUCUCCUGCUGAUGUUCCAGCACAUUGCAAGCUUUCCCAGAAACUUAGAGGCAACCUUGGCACAAGGACAUGAUUUGUUGGAAAUUAAGUUUUGUCACCUGGGGGACUGUGAGCUUGAUAUGGAAAUUAAUUCAGUUAUAUAAUUAUAAAAAAAAUGUGCUUCCUACACAUCUGAUUUUGUGAACCCAAAUUAGUUUCCACAACACAACUGUAUUAACAUUUGCCAACCUCUGGUGCAACAUUUGUUGUCUUUGUUGCAUUUUUCUAGAAGUUUUCAGCUCUAACCCAUCUUUCCCUGCUUUAUUUUCAUUUCUAAAUUCUGGUGAGUGGUGUUUUGAGCAAGCUAAUGGGAGUCAAGGAUGAACAGAAAUUCCCUCUGCAGCUGAGGCAGGAGAAUUGCUUAGACCCAGGAGACGGAGUUUGCAAUG
Molecule: long non-coding RNA, 2138 nt
Organism: Cercocebus atys (sooty mangabey)
Lineage: Eukaryota; Metazoa; Chordata; Mammalia; Primates; Cercopithecidae
Exons: 6
Source: RefSeq, a predicted model, not a curated record